RNAcentral lists this ribosomal RNA (1041 nucleotides) under Triticum aestivum (bread wheat). RNAcentral describes it as "partial small subunit ribosomal RNA". The record is from RNAcentral. Lineage: Eukaryota; Viridiplantae; Streptophyta; Magnoliopsida; Poales; Poaceae.
AUGGGGCGGUCGCCGUGCUGCGACGGGGAGGCGGGCGUGAAGAAGGGCCCGUGGACGCCCGAGGAGGACAAGCUGCUGGUGGACUACAUCCAGGAGAAGGGCCACGGCAGCUGGCGCCGCCUGCCCAAGCUCGCCGGCCUCAACCGCUGCGGCAAGAGCUGCCGCCUCCGCUGGACCAACUACCUCCGCCCCGACAUCAAGCGCGGCCGCUUCACCGAAGACGAGGAGAAGCUCAUCAUCCACCUCCACUCCCUCCUCGGCAACAAGUGGUCGUCGAUUGCUACGAAGCUGCCGGGGAGGACGGACAACGAGAUCAAGAACUACUGGAACACGCACCUGCGCAAGAAGCUGCUCGGCAUGGGCAUCGACCCCGUCACGCACCGCCCGCGCACCGACCUCAGCCUGCUCGCCGGGCUCCCGGGCCUCCUCGCGGCAGCCGGUAACUUCGGCGGCGCCGGCUCGGCCACGGGCGCUUGGGACAUGAACGCGCUCAGGCUGCAGGCCGACGCCGCCAAGUUCCAGCUGCUUCAGGGGCUCGUGCGCGCGCUCACCACCGCCGCCGUGCCCGCGCUCGCGCCCGGCAUGGACAACCUCAUGGCACUCCUCGCCGCCAGUAACGGCGGGCAGAACGGCGCCGGCGGAGUCGACCAGAGCAUGCUGCUGCAGCAGUGCCAGUGGGACGGCAUGAAUAACCUACCGGCGCUGACCAACUCCGCGCCGGCGAGCGGCAUGCACAACAUCAGCGGCAUGUUCGACAGCUUCGGCGCCGGGGACGGGCUGAGCUCGACGGAGCUCGGGUGCCACGGCGGGGCGAGCGGGAGCAACGUGACCGUGGACGCGGUGGCGCCACCGCGCCCAAUGGUGGCCAACGACCGGGACUGCAACAACAAUGGCGGCGGCGGUGUGUCGUGCGAGCAGACGCCGGCGUCGAGCCCGUUCGACGGGCUGGAGAGCCUGAACCUGAUGGAUGACCUCAACACGGACGGUAGCUGGAAGGAUUUGCUAGACCAAAUGUCAUGGCUGAACUCAAGUGAGCUGUGA